This 349-nucleotide ribosomal RNA is filed under the name uncultured bacterium. RNAcentral describes it as "partial 16S ribosomal RNA". It matches the Rfam family "Bacterial small subunit ribosomal RNA", at positions 338 to 684 of the family's 1533-position model. The record is from RNAcentral.
CCUACGGGUGGCAGCAGUGAGGAAUAUUGGUCAAUGGGCGCGAGCCUGAACCAGCCAAGUAGCGUGAAGGAUGACGGCCCUACGGGUUGUAAACUGCUUUUAUAAAGGAAUAAAGUGAGGCACGUGUGCCGUUUUGUAUGUACUGUAUGAAUAAGGAUCGGCUAACUCCGUGCCAGCAGCCGCGGUAAUACGGAGGAUCCGGGCGUUAUCCGGAUUUAUUGGGUUUAAAGGGAGCGUAGAGGUGUUGUUAAGUCAGUUGUGAAAGUUGGCGUCUCAACCGUCACAUUGCAAUUGAUACUGGCAUUCUUUAUUCCAGUUGAGGUAGGCGGAAUUCGUCUUGUAGCGGUGA